Miniopterus natalensis is the source of this 3835-nucleotide non-coding RNA. The record is from RefSeq and is a predicted model, not a curated record. Lineage: Eukaryota; Metazoa; Chordata; Mammalia; Chiroptera; Miniopteridae.
GGGUCGCGGAACCUGACGCGGGAACCCGGCUGGAGAUGGAGUUCGACUGCGAGGGUCUGAGACGGCUGCUGGGCAAGUACAAGUUCAGGGAUCUAACUGUGGAAGAACUAAAGAAUGUAAAUAUGUUUUUCCCACAUUUCAGAUAUUCCAUGGACACCUAUGUUUUCAAAGAUAGUUCCCAGAAAGACUUGCUGAAUUUCACUGGCACUGUUCCUGUGAAGUAUCAGGGUAAUACAUAUAACAUACCAAUUCGUUUGUGGAUUUUGGAUUCUCACCCUUUUGCUCCUCCCAUUUGCUUCUUAAAGCCAACUGCAAACAUGGGAAUCUCAGUUGGAAAACAUGUGGAUGCUCAAGGCAGAAUAUACUUGCCCUACCUUCAGAACUGGAGCCAUCCUAAAUCUGUACUUGUAGGACUAAUUAAAGAAAUGAUUGCCAAGUUUCAAGAGGAACUUCCCCUGUAUUCUCUAUCAUCAUCUGAUGAGGCACAGCAGGUGGACUUGCUAGCCUAUAUUGCAAAAAUCACUGAAGGUGUCUCAGACAUAAAUUCAAAGAACUGGGCAAAUCAUGAGAAUAAAACAGUAAAGAAAAUUACUGUGGUUGGAGGUGGAGAACUGGGAGUUGCCUGCACUUUAGCAAUUUCAGCAAAGAGCAUUGCAGACAGAAUUGUCCUCUUAGACCUUUCAGAAGGGACUACAGGAGGGAUGAUGGACCUUGAGAUCUUCAACCUGCCUAAUGUGGAGAUCAGCAAAGAUUUGUCUGCCUCUGCUCAUUCCAAGGUGGUCAUCUUCACAGUUAACUCUUUGGGUAGCUCUCAGUCCUACCUUGAUGUAGUGCAGAGAAAUGUGGAUAUGUUCAGAGCCCUUGUCCCAGCUCUGGGACAUUAUAGUCAGCACAGUGUCCUGCUUGUUGCAUCUCAACCAGUGGAAAUCAUGACCUACGUGACAUGGAAACUGAGUACGUUUCCUGCAAAUCGAGUGAUUGGAAUUGGAUGCAAUCUGGAUUCACAGAGGAUACAGUAUAUAAUUACAAAUGUUUUGAAGGCACAGACUUCUGGAAAACCAAUAUGGGUCAUUGGUGAGCAUGGAGAAGACAAAGGUAAGAAAUACAUUUUUACUAGUUAUAUUGAUAACCUAAAUCACUAGUGACCAUUCUGUAAGUUUACCAUUAGGCAAAACUCCUCAGUCAAGUUUUAUAUUUCCUCAAAAUUAUUUUCUUAAAAUUUAAAACUUCUUGUGUGCUUUGAUGCCAAAAAUUAACAGCUGUUAUGUCUGGGAUAGAGGUAACUUAAAAAUUUGUACUUUUCUGUGUUUUCUAAUUUUGUCAUUAUGGGUAUGUAGUAUUUAUAUAAUUUUUAAGAAAAUUGUUUUAAGAAAAUACAGCAGUAUUUUAAAUCUGUAUAAAUCUGCACUGGCUACCUAGAAAGUUCAGUGCCGGAAAGAGUCAGACUCUAGAAUAAACCUUUACAAAACCUCACAGUGUAAUUCAAGCAGAAGUAUUUCUCAGGUUGAAAAUGCUAAACACUAAACACUAACCAAUAGAACCCUAGAAAAGGGUAGCAAACAAGAACUUGGAGCAGACGUAUUAGAGUAACGAAUGUCUAGGGAUUCAAACAGACCCACAACCUGAGUUUUCUCACUACUCCAUUUGAAUUCUGGUCCAUGUCAAUCUUUUGUUUAUCUGAUUAUUGCCAAUCUCCAAAUUAGUUUGCUCUUUCCCCUCUAGUCUACCAAAUUAAUAGUGAUAUUAACCAAAACUUACACAGUAUUUACUAUAUGCUUUCAUAUAUUAAUUCAGUCUUCCUAAAUCAUAUUCCUCUUUUCGAAAACUUUCACUGGCUUCCUCUGAAAAUCAUUAAAUUCCUUUACUUGGCAUUCAAGGAGUCCCAAAAUAUAGCCCUAAUCUUCCUUCUCUAUUAUAGUUAUGAAGGUAAUCAUGUUAUUGAAGAGCUGGAAGGGACCCAAGGGAUCAUCAAUUAUACUUUGUUUUAAGGAGUCAGAAAUGGAUGCAGGGAUGGUAAGAGUGACCUGCCCAGGAACCUAUAGCUUUCCUGGUCUAAGGACUAAAGCCCAGGUCUUGUGGCUCCCAGCCCCACCCUACUUACAGCUUUGCUUCAGCCACAGGGAUCUUUGCCCACUCCUUUUACCUCCUUCAUAAUCCCUUCUCCCUCUCUCUCAGCAAAUUUAAAUCUCAUCCUUCAAGGUCUCGGUCAGGCCCACCUUACGUAUACUAUGAAGCUUUUCCUGAUGACAUCACUCCACAGGGAUUUUUUUUCAGUCCUUUGAGCUAGAAGUAGUUGUUAGCUAUAUGGUAAUAAACCAUAUAUUGUCUCAUGAUGCUUAUUCUUUUGUGAAACUGCUGUUUAUUCUGAUCCAUUUUGAAUUUUGUGUUUACACUUUCUCCUUAUUAAAAGUGUAAAUUAUUAAGCUGUCUUCUAGUUGAAAAAGUCAUGCAUUCACAUCUCAAAAAAAUUAAAUAAACAAAAAGAUAUACAGUGAAAAUUAAGUCUCCUUUCUAUGCCAGACACCCAGUCCUCUUUCUGUAAAAACAAUCAGUUACCAGUUUCUUGUGUAACCUUACAGAAAUGUUCUGUGCAUAGAGAAGCACAUAUAUGAAAUAUAAAUCAUAUGUUAUUCUCUAUCUUGCCCUUUUACUUAUUGAUAUGACUUGGAAAUGAUUACUAUAUAUAUACUUCAUUUUUUAAAACUACUGGAUAUACCAAAAUUUAUUUAACCAGUCAGUCCCUCUAAUAAGUUACAAUUUUUGAAUGAAUUAGAAUUUUUCACAAUAUGGUUGCAUUAAUGUCACAAAUUGUAAAGAGAAAAUAAAGUGUGGUAUGACAAUAAAUAAACCUAAGCCACUGUGCUGACUGCUGUUAGAACUAUAUAGAUGUAUAAGAACCUGACCUUGUUUUUAGGAAGCUUAGAAUCUAAUAUGGGAAAUGACUGUAAUAGAAGGCAGUAUUGACUUGCUAUGAGAGAGGUCCAAGGGAAGUAGGAUAAAAACACAAGGAAGGCUAUGGUAAUUCUGUCUUCAGUUCUCAAGUGGGAACUAGAAAUAAGAGGUGUAGGUGCAUGUAAAUUGGGAUCACUUAAGUAUAAUAUGUAAUACUUGACACAUAAAAAUCCACACUCAAUUAUUAAGAACAGUACUGAUACCACUAAAGCUACCUAUGUAUUUCCCAACCCAUCUCCCUGUCUUCCAUUUAGAUACCACUGUCAGAUCACUUUUUAUCCUGUCUUCUACUUUGUGUCAGAGAUGUGGUAUCCAUGAAUUGGUAUACUUAGCUUGGGCCUGAAGCCAGAAAUGGAUAAGAGGCUCCCUCUGCUGGUUUCAUGUGUAGAUACCAACUGAUUAUAUUUUUGUGUAAGUGAUUCUACCACAGUAACAGCAAUUAUAAUUAUCUUAUAUUGAGUGGCUACUAUGUGUAUUAAAUGGUUUGCAUAUCUCACUCUGAGAAGGAAGUGGGUGAUUUUUCAGAUUAAUAGAUGAGGAAUGUUAAAACUCAGGUUAACUAGUUUGUUUGUGAUUAUACAUCUAGUAAGGGCAAAACUGAGGUUUGAACCCUGAUCGACUCCAAAGCUAUACUUUUUCUUGCUGUGACUUAAUUAGAUAAUUUAUCUAAAGCAUUUAAUACAGUGUCUGGCAUCAAGUAAACACUUGAUUAUUAUUACAGUAAUCAGCAAGAUGGUUAUGAAUAAAAAAUUGGCAAAAGAACAUGUAAAACUACUUUGAAGUAAAGCAACAUUAGGAUUUGGAAACAUAAUAAUAGCAGAUGUUGACCACAUGGGGUGGCCAAGAAGAAGUAAUGAGUCAUAACUCCCAGGUACAGCUAUCC